This 300-nucleotide small nuclear RNA is filed under the name Erinaceus europaeus (western European hedgehog). RNAcentral describes it as "7SK RNA". It matches the Rfam family "7SK RNA". Rfam says of the family: 7SK was discovered as an abundant small nuclear RNA in the mid-70s but a possible function has only recently been suggested. Two independent studies have found that 7SK RNA binds the CDK9/cyclin T complex (known as elongation factor P-TEFb). Lineage: Eukaryota; Metazoa; Chordata; Mammalia; Eulipotyphla; Erinaceidae. The record is from Rfam by way of RNAcentral.
GGAUGUGAGGGCAAUCUGGCUGCGACACCUGUCACCCCAUUGACCGCCAGGGUUGACUUGGCAAAUCUAGCUGGCUAGGCAGGUGUCCCCUUCCUCCCUCACCACUCUCUGUGCAUCCCUCUUGAAGUUGUACGUUUGGUCAAAGAGGACGACCUUCCCCAAAUAGAAAUAGACAUGUCUUCCUCGAGGGCAUAAGAGUAGCUGUGCUCCCCUGCUAGAACCUCCAAACAAGCUCUCAAAUCCCAGCCACAUGAGUACCAUAGGACUGAGGAAAGGUGCAGUGCUAUGCUGUCAUUCCUU